This 4718-nucleotide long non-coding RNA is filed under the name Canis lupus familiaris (dog). RNAcentral describes it as "lncRNA (ENSCAFG00000052565.1)". Lineage: Eukaryota; Metazoa; Chordata; Mammalia; Carnivora; Canidae. The record is from RNAcentral.
UUUUUUUUUUUUUUUUUUUUUUUCAUCCUAAUCCUGUACAUAAUCUCUUUUUCUGCUUCCUUUUAUAAGGCUAGUUCUGGACCUUCCAUCUGUACGUGUUCACAUGAUGGCUGGUAGGCAUCCAACACCACAUGGCCACAGAAUCUUCUCUUCACCUGAAAAGCUGAUAGAAAAGGGGAACUAGCAUUCACCAGCUUUUCUUUGGUAAAGCAUCACAGCCCCUGUAUCCUAACCUGACUCUCUCAAGAGCUAUAAAUACUUGCAGGCCCCAGACAGCUGUUAGUUCUAAUUUCAUAUCAGUGUCCAGUUUCUUCACUAAUGACCACUUACAUGUAAUUAAAUUUGGAAUUACAGGAUCUUAAUGUCGAAAAAAUGCAUUUUCACCCGAAAUAUUUUCUACCAUGAAUUGAAGACCAGAAUGAGGCUUCUUCUGAUACUAGAAUAAUGAUAGAAUAGAAACAGUCAUCUCUCUUAGAUGCCAAAUGUGGUCUACUUUUAUCUUAAAAUCAAAUGAUUUCCCAGUAAUUUGUAUUCUAAAAUAAUCACUUUUUUUUUUUUCUGAGUGGGAGAGAGUGGGGGGAAGAGCGGAGGGAGAGACAGAAUCUUAAGCAGGUUCUCUGCCCAGCAUGGAGCCCAAUGCAAGCUUGAUCUCACGACACUGAGAUCAUGACCUGAGUCAAAACUAAGAGUCAGAGAUCCCUGGGUGGCGCAGCGGUUUAGCGCCUGCCUUUGGCCCAGUGCGCGAUCCUGGUAGGCCUGGGAUCGAAUCCCACGUCGGGCUCCCGGUGUAUGGAGCCUGCUUCUCCCUCUGCCUAUGUCUCCGCCUCUCUCUCUGUCUCUCUCUGUGACUAUCAUAAAAAAAAAAAAAAAAAAAACAAAACUAAGAGUCACAUGCUUCACAGACUGAGCCACCCACGUGCCUCAAGAGUUACUACCAUUUUGGAUCAUCUAUUUUGUAUUAAGGCACUUCAUAUAUAUUACCUCUACUCUUCAGAUAUGCUAAAGUAGGUAUGAUGACCCUCAUUUUGUAUAUGAGAAAACUAGGACUCAGAGGUUAAAUUGCAUAGGUCACAAAACUGGUAUUUUACUCUUGAACAGUCUGUUUUGAGAGGCCAGGGCACUUUAAGAAGCAUAAAUUCAUGAAUGGAAGAAAAGAUGAAAAAAAGAAAACAAAACCAAAACAAAAUAUUGGAAAUAAUUCCAAUGUCUAAUAAUAAGAGAUUGAAUAUAUUUGGUGAACUACAGAAUGGUCAUUAUACAGCUAGUAAAAAUACACAUGAUAGAAGAACAGUUAUGAACAUGGGUAAAUGUUCCCGAUAUAUUAAGUGAAGAAAAAUCAGGCUAUAAAACAGUAGGUACAGUAUAAUUCCAAUUUUGUAAACAAAAAUGUGAAGAUAUAUUAUGCAUAGAAAAAAAUGGCAGGAAAUAUACCCAGAUAUUUUUUGGUGGAAGAAAUUCAGUUGGGUUUGAAUUUUUUCUCUUUUGAGCUCCUCUAAGUUGUCAUGUGUGGGCAUUUAGCAGGAAUUAAAAAGGGAAAAGGAGAGAAAAUGGGUGAGUUGAUUAGCGCUUGUGUGUUGGAGAAAAGGUGAGUAGGAUGAACUGUUUGACAGCUGGAAGAGGAUGUGUGUCUGACUCAGAUGGUGGCUAUGCAGGGAGCAUGACUCACACAUGAGUCAAGCUGGCCUUUUGGUUUUGGCAGGGGGCUGGGGGCGGGAGAUACUCUUGGAGGGCAGCAAGGAACGGUUCUCUACAAGUGAAUGUUUCUGGAGAUGGACUCUUUUAUUCAACUGUUGACAACCCUUCCAGGCCCAGUCUCAAUCCCAUUCUCCCUCUUGGAUCUACAGUAGAUUAUAGACUAUAAUAACAGAUAUACAUUUAAGUGUCUGUGUUUUUAAAGCCAGCCUGUUUAUUUACUCCUCUCAGCCCAGACAGAAUUUAAACUUCUAUUUGUCUGAUCUGCUGAUGAAUUUCAGCUGCUGGAGAAGGAGAAUUGCUUGUUGCUUCCAGAUGGAUGAUAAUGUCCAUGUGUCUGGGGUGAAGAUAUGGCAGCUGGAGAGUCAGUGCUUGUCCAUGUGUUUGAGGGGUAUGACUGGAUUUGGUGACAAUCUCAAGUGCAAAUUCUUUUAGUCUCUUGUGCACAGAAUCACUGCUUUCACCACUUUUUAGAUUCAUGUUUAGAAAAAUCUGGGUGACCAUUUAGGCUUGGUUGUAGAGUAAGUUUUAUCCCAAAGACAUUCUUUUUCAUGACUUAAUUUGGGGUCAUCUGAAUUAUAUGUGGUCAUUCAAAAGAAUGCAGAUCUACUGAAUUUCAUUGAUUCUAUGAAACAUAAUUGUUCAUAUUUUACCAUCUUUAAAGUCAUGUGUCUCACAAUCUCGGCCACCCCAGUGGCUGGUGGCAUGAUGGUUUAACUGACCUGUCACCCUCUUGGCCAACAAACCAGUGAAGGACCACUCAUGAAGAGGUGGGAUCUGAUAGUUCAGGUACUCAUGCCUUCUGAAAGAACGAAAAAGCUCCAGCAUAAAACCUGCAGAACAACGGCCAAUGGGCUGGAAGGUGAUGCAUGGCAUCUCCUGAUAGCACAGAGGGUGACACGGUGGGGAAAAGCAAAGACUGACAACUCAGAGGGAAAGUGAUUAAAUGAAGAGUUGGGAUUCUGAGCGUGAAGAGAGUGUAGGGCUAUCUUAACCAAUGUAUUUUGCUUUUCCUCCUUCUUAUUUUUAUAUGUACAAGAUCACAGGUGAUAAAAGUGCAUGUCAAAAUAAGUCUUUCAAUAACUAAAGAUUUAUUUCAGCAACUAAAAUAAAAAUUCUAAGUGUCAAGGAGGCAUGUGUCACCUUUCAAAUUGGCAGUGGUUUUUCAAAACAUCUUCCACGGGUUUUAAAUGCAGAUGAUAAUAAGGAGGAGAACAAUGUGAGGGGCACAGAAAUUUUACAAGAUUGAACAAAAGGACUGUGUUAAACCUCCAGAUGACACAGCUCACUUGCAGUCAGUAGGAGUGUUUUCUGGUAGCAGCAAAUGCUUUUGUAAACUCUCAAAGGAGCCCGGUCUUCAUUUGAGUUGCAUGAGUCCAGACACAUGUGGGGGAACACUGUCCAAAGGGAGUGCAAACUGCAGUAAUAAAGUCAUGAUAACUUGUCAGAGAUGAUGCGCCAAUGAAAAAUCAUUCCUAGAAGUUCUUUUAAUUAAACAUUUAGCUGUCCACUGGAGCCAUUUUUAAAUAUAAAAUGCAGCCCUGUGGCCUUUUCUCCCUGCCUCCCACCCUUCUGCAAUAGCUCUGACAAUUGAAUUCUCAUUGGUGAUAAUAAAAAAAUUCAUAAGACAGGGUACAGCUGGUUAUGCCUCUAGCAAGAUGUCAAAUUUCACUUGUGCAAAAUUAAUUGCACCUAAUUAAACUGGGGUCAUUGGCAUUAUUGUAAAGUGAGGCUAUUUAUUAGACAAAGAAAAUUUCACAAAUACCAUUUUGCUUUUAUUUUAGGUUUGUGAAAGAGAAGAACUGCUUACAUAAUUAAAUUUGUUUUGCCAUUUUUAAUCUUAUUACUCCAAAAGAUCCACUUCAAAUCCUGCUUUACACCUAAAAUUGUGUGAUAUUUUAGAAUAGCAGAGGUAAUCCUUGGAGGAAGACAUAAAAAAAUGAUAGGUUUUCUGUAGAUUACCUAAUCAUUUUCCAAACAGUAUAGAAAAUAAUUUGUAAACUACCACUUAUAAGGACAUGCAUCUUGGAAUCACUUACAUGAAGCGUUUCCUAAGCAAAUUAUUGGUACACGUGUAUGAGAUUAAUAUGAAGUUUAAAAGAUAUGUUGCAUGUUAUAAAUAGGCUGCUACAGUAUGCACCUAUUACUUCAAGAAAGACACCACUGAAAGCAAAUUUCAUUGUAUUGAAAUGGGACCACCUCUUUUCUGACCCAUGCUGGGUGUAUAGGACUACGCUGCUUCCUUCUCCAGGAAAUGAUGCAAAAAUUAUUACUGUUAGAGACAAAAGGAUGAUUUUUUUUCCUGGAAAAAUGAUACUUGUUCAACUUGGGAUUCUGUGUCAGAUUAUAUAUACAGAUUCUCAGUUCCCCAGAGGCAAAGCUCCUGUGGAUCCAAUUUCUUUAAAGCCUCUCUAGAUCACUGCUAUCUGUCCAGUUGAUACAACUCCCUGGGCCAGGUGCCUCCCCAGCCAGCAUCCUCAGCCCAAACACAAAAGAAGGUGGCAGGUAUCUAUUGUUAGGUCUCAUCUCAGCCAUUCACCAAGAAACCUACAAGAAUAAGAAAGGAAUGAGUUCUGACUUGGGGAGGUUGGAAUGGUUCAGAUGAGUAAACAGUAAUCAUUAUUCAAACCAGCUGCUCAAAAGCUCUCUGGGGAAUUUCUCUUUUUCGUAAUAUUUGCAAUGUUUAGAGAGAAGGGUAUAGCCUAUUCUAGGUUACAGCUUCCCACUGUAUACUUUAUGAAAAAGACUGUAUAUAUAUUUAUGUAUGUAAAUAAAAAUCUAUCUUAGGGUAAAGCAAGAAGAGAGGGAGGAGUCAGGUUUAUUUUGUGGUUAGUCUGAGGAAAGGAGAAUGGAGAAGCCCGCAUUGUUUUCUCCACAAUGGCAGAUCACGUUGUAAUAUCUGAGAAAUGAAAGGUUUCUCGGUGUCUAUUACUAAUGACCGUGCUCGGUCUCAUGGUCUCAUGGCAGCAAAGCCAGUUUCCAUUCCUUUAAUAACGCUGAGCUGAAUAAACUCCAAAUCCGAAAUA